AGAGUUUGAUCCUGGCUCAGGACGAACGCUGGCGGCGUGCCUAACACAUGCAAGUCGAACGGAGUUGUUUCUUCUUUGAUAACUUAUUGUGUAACGGGUGAGUAACGCUUAAUAAACCUGCCUUUCCCUGGGGGACAACGGUUGAAAACGACUGCUAAUACCGCAUAAUGUUAUUUGGGGGCAUCCCCCAAUAACCAAAGAUUUAUUGAUAAAAGAUGGUCUCGCGUCUUAUUACCUUGUUGGCGGGGUAACGGCCCACCAAGGCCACGAUCACCAACCAGUCUGAGAGGAUGAACGGCCACGUUGGGACUGAUAUACAGCCCAAACUCCCACGAGACGCCACAGUGGGGAAUAUUGGGCAAUGGGGGAAACCCUGACACACCAUCACCCCGUGAAGGAAGAAGGCCUUCGAGUGUGUAAUCUUCUUUUCCCAGAGGAGCAUAAUGACGGUCCCUGGAGAAAAAGCAACGGCUAACUACGUGCCAGCAGCCGCGGUAAUACGUAGGUUGCAAGCGUUUUCCGGAUUUACUGGGUGUAAAGGGCGUGUAGGCGGAGAUGCAAUUUGGGAGUGAAAUCCCGGGGCUCAACCCCGGAACUGCUUUCAAAACUGUAUCCCUUGAGUCUCGGAGAGGCAAGCGGAAUUCCUAGUGUAGCGGUGAAAUGCGUAGAUAUUAGGAGGAACACCAGUGGCGAAGGCGGCUUGCUGGACGAUAACUGACGCUGAGGCGCGAAAGCGUGGGGACCAAACAGGAUUAGAUCCCCUGGUAGUCCCCGCUGUAAACGAUGAAUAAUAGGUGUGGGAGGACUGACCCCUUCCGUGCGGCAGUUAACACAAUAAGCAUUCAGUCUGGGGAGUGAGACCGCAAGGUUGAAAGUCAAAGGAAUUGACGGGGGCCCGCACACGCAGUGGAUUAUGUGGUUUAAUUCGAUUGCAACGAGAAGAACACUUCCCAGGGUUUGUACUAUCCAUCUAACGAAGUUGAGAUACAUUAGGUGCCCUUCGGGGAAAGAUUGAGACAGGUGGUGCAUGGUUGUCGUCAGCUCGUGUCGUGAGAUGUUGGGUUAAGUCCCGCAACGAGCGCAACCCUCGUUUUAUGUUGCCAGCGCGGUAUGGCGGGGACUCAUAGGAGACUGCCGGGGUCAACUCGGAGGAAGGUGGGGACGACGUCAAAUCAUCAUGCCCCUUAUGUCUUGGGCUUCAAGCAUGCUACAAUGGCCGGUACAAAGGGUUGCGAUGCUGUGAGGGGGAGGUAAUCCCAAAAAACCGGUUUCCGUUUGGAUUGAGGUGUGCAACUCGACCUCCAGAAGUUGGAGUCGGUAGUAAUUGCAGAUCAGCAACGCUGCGGUGAAUACGUUCCCGGGCCUUGCACUCACCGCCCGUCA
RNAcentral lists this ribosomal RNA (1383 nucleotides) under uncultured bacterium. RNAcentral's name for it is "bacterial SSU rRNA". It matches the Rfam family "Bacterial small subunit ribosomal RNA". The record is from RNAcentral.